Molecule: ribosomal RNA, 301 nt
Filed under: uncultured bacterium
Lineage: Bacteria
Description: partial 16S ribosomal RNA
Rfam family: Bacterial small subunit ribosomal RNA
Source: RNAcentral
CAGUAGCCGCGGGAAUACGAACCAUGCAAACGUUACUCGGAAUCACUGGGCUUAAAGCGCACGUAGGCGGCGACAUAAGUUAGAGGUGAAAUCCCAUCGGCUCAACCGUGGAACUGCCUCUAAUACUGUGUUGCUUGAGGGAGAACGGGGCAUUCGGAACUUCCGGUGGAGCGGUGAAAUGUGUUGAUAUCGGAAGGAACGCCGGUGGCGAAAGCGGAAUGCUGGGUCUCUUCUGACGCUGAGGUGCGAAAGCUAGGGUAGCGAACGGGAUUAGAUACCCGCGUAGUCCCUGUCUCUUAUA